GAUGAACGCUGGCGGCGUGCCUAAUACAUGCAAGUCGAGCGAACAGACGAGGAGCUUGCUCCUCUGACGUUAGCGGCGGACGGGUGAGUAACACGUGGAUAACCUACCUAUAAGACUGGGAUAACUUCGGGAAACCGGCGCUAAUACCGGAUAAUAUAUUGAACCGCAUGGUUCAAUAGUGAAAGACGGCUUUGCUGUCUCUUAUAGCUGGAUCCGCGCCGCAUUAGCUAGUUGGUAAGGUAACGGCUUACCAAGGCAACGAUGCGUAGCCGACCUGAGAGGGUGAUCGGCCACACUGGAACGGAGACACGGUCCAGACUCCUACGGGAGGCAGCAGUAGGGAAUCUUCCGCAAUGGGCGAAAGCUUUACGGAGCAACGCCGCGUGAGUGAUGAAGGUCUUCGGAUCGUAAAACUCUGUUAUUAGGGAAGAACAAAUGUGUAAGUAACUAUGCACGUCUUGACGGUACCUAAUCAGAAAGCCACGGCUAACUACGUG
RNAcentral lists this ribosomal RNA (497 nucleotides) under uncultured bacterium. RNAcentral's name for it is "partial 16S ribosomal RNA". It matches the Rfam family "Bacterial small subunit ribosomal RNA", at positions 28 to 507 of the family's 1533-position model. The record is from RNAcentral.